Dipodomys ordii (Ord's kangaroo rat) is the source of this 103-nucleotide small nuclear RNA. Lineage: Eukaryota; Metazoa; Chordata; Mammalia; Rodentia; Heteromyidae. The record is from Ensembl.
CUGAUAAACACUUACAGCACAUAUACUAAGGAAUGAUACAAGAAGAUUAGCACAGUCCCUGCACAAGGUUGACAUGAAAAUUUGUGAAGUGUUCUAUAUUUAA